RNAcentral lists this ribosomal RNA (447 nucleotides) under uncultured Barnesiella sp. RNAcentral describes it as "bacterial SSU rRNA". It matches the Rfam family "Bacterial small subunit ribosomal RNA", at positions 354 to 794 of the family's 1533-position model. Lineage: Bacteria; Pseudomonadati; Bacteroidota; Bacteroidia; Bacteroidales; Barnesiellaceae. The record is from RNAcentral.
UGAGGGAAUAUUUGGGGUCAAUGGACAGGAGUCUGAACCAGCCAAGUCGCGUGAGGGAUGAAGGUCCUACGGAUUGUAAACCUCUUUUGCCGGGGAGUAACGUCGCCCACGCGUGGGCGAGUGAGAGUACCCGGAGAAAAGCAUCGGCUAACUCCGUGCCAGCAGCCGCGGUAAUACGGAGGAUGCGAGCGUUAUCCGGAUUUAUUGGGUUUAAAGGGUGCGCAGGCGGCGCGUCAAGUCAGCGGUAAAAAUAGCGGCGCUCAACGCCGUAGAGCCGUUGAAACUGGCGCGCUCGAGUAUGUGCGAGGAAGGCGGAAUGCGUGGUGUAGCGGUGAAAUGCAUAGAUAUCACGCAGAACCCCGAUUGCGAAGGCAGCUUUCCAGCACACGACUGACGCUGAGGCACGAAAGCGUGGGGUAUCGAACAGGGAUUAGAUACCCUGGUAGU